UACGUAGGGUGCAAGCGUUAAUCGGAAUUACUGGGCGUAAAGCGUGCGCAGGCGGUUUUGUAAGACUGUCGUGAAAUCCCCGGGCUCAACCUGGGAAUGGCGAUGGUGACUGCAAGGCUAGAGUUUGGCAGAGGGGGGUAGAAUUCCACGUGUAGCAGUGAAAUGCGUAGAUAUGUGGAGGAACACCGAUGGCGAAGGCAGCCCCCUGGGCCAACACUGACGCUCAGGCACGAAAGCGUGGGGAGCAAACAGG
This 253-nucleotide ribosomal RNA is filed under the name uncultured bacterium. Its description in RNAcentral is "partial 16S ribosomal RNA". It matches the Rfam family "Bacterial small subunit ribosomal RNA", at positions 524 to 776 of the family's 1533-position model. The record is from RNAcentral.